RNAcentral lists this ribosomal RNA (494 nucleotides) under uncultured bacterium. Its description in RNAcentral is "partial 16S ribosomal RNA". It matches the Rfam family "Bacterial small subunit ribosomal RNA", at positions 31 to 507 of the family's 1533-position model. The record is from RNAcentral.
GAACGCUGGCGGCGUGCCUAAUACAUGCAAGUCGAGCGAACAGAUAAGGAGCUUGCUCCUUUGACGUUAGCGGCGGACGGGUGAGUAACACGUGGGUAACCUACCUAUAAGACUGGGAUAACUUCGGGAAACCGGAGCUAAUACCGGAUAACAUUUGGAACCGCAUGGUUCUAAAGUGAAAGAUGGUUUUGCUAUCACUUAUAGAUGGACCCGCGCCGUAUUAGCUAGUUGGUAAGGUAACGGCUUACCAAGGCAACGAUACGUAGCCGACCUGAGAGGGUGAUCGGCCACACUGGAACUGAGACACGGUCCAGACUCCUACGGGAGGCAGCAGUAGGGAAUCUUCCGCAAUGGGCGAAAGCCUGACGGAGCAACGCCGCGUGAGUGAUGAAGGGUUUCGGCUCGUAAAACUCUGUUAUUAGGGAAGAACAAAUGUGUAAGUAACUGUGCACGUCUUGACGGUACCUAAUCAGAAAGCCACGGCUAACUACGUG